RNAcentral lists this long non-coding RNA (1400 nucleotides) under Homo sapiens (human). Its description in RNAcentral is "HSALNT0299554". The record is from RNAcentral. Lineage: Eukaryota; Metazoa; Chordata; Mammalia; Primates; Hominidae.
GACAAUGGGCAACCCGCAGCCCUCGCGGCUGCUCUCUCUCUGGAGUAGCCAUUCUUUUAUUCCUUUACUUUUCCUGAUAAACUUGCUUUCACUUUACAGACUUGCCCUGAAUUAUUUGUUGCACGAGAUCAAAGAACCCUCUCUUGGGGUCUGGGUCGGGACCGCUUUUCAGUAACAUCUUUCUGGUGAUCACGGAAGAGACUAUAGUGUGGAAACACCCGACCCAAAGGCUAACUUUGAGCCCGGUGUGGUGGCACGCACCUGUAAUCCCAGCUACUCAGGAGGCUGAGGCAGGAGAAUCGCUUGAACCCCAGCGACAGAGGUUGCAGUGAGCUGAGAUCGCACCACUGCACUCCAGCCUGAGCGACAGAGCAAGACUCUGUCUCAAAAACAACAACAACAAACAACAACAACAAAAAACCAAAGGCUAACUUUGGGUAAGUGAUGGGGUUCAGUAACAUCUUUCUGGCAAAUCAUGGAAGGGACGAUACUGAAGAAACCCCCGACCCAAAGGAAAUAGACUGGAGCACUGAUUGGCCGACUUUGGACGUGUCCUGAAUGCUGUCCCUUUCCAGACCUGGUUCUUCGGCUUUCUCUUCAAUUCGGUAAGUUUCUCCACAUCUUCCCAACAGAGGGAAGACCUUUUCUUCUUGUUCGUGAUAACUAGAGUCAGAGUCUGUUGCUUGCAAUGAAAAACCAUUACAAUACAAAUAUGGCUGAAUGAUAAGCUUGACCGAAUGCUAUUAUAUUUUACAUACUUAUAUAUAACGAUAAUAUACAACAUAUUACAAUUGAUAAGCUUGGUUUAAUGCUAUUAUAGAGAAUGCACAUUCUUUCCAAAUCCCCAUGUAACAGGAACAAAACGAUAUCUUUUUUUUUUUUUUUGAUACGGAGUCUCACUCUGUUGCCCAGGCUGGAGUGCAGUGGUGCGAUCUUGGCUCACUGCAACCUCCACCUCACGGGUUCAAGCAAGUCUCCUGCCUCAGCCUCCCGAGUAGCUGGGACUACAGGCAUGCGCCACCAUGCCCGGCUAAUUUUUUUGUAUUUUUAGUAGAGACGGGGUUUCACCACGUUGGCCACGCUGGUUUUGAACUCCUGACCUCAAGUGAUCCACCUGCCUCAGCCUCCCAAAGUGCUAGGAUUACAGGCAUGAGCCACCAUGCCAGGCCAGAAAUGAUAUCUCUUAGGUAAGACCACACACACACCCCACAUACAAUCAAUAAACCCCCAAAAGUAGAAAUAAACAGGCCACAGUAUAAGACAUAAUAAGACAAAAAAUAGAAAUGAACAACAAAAGCAUAUCCAAUCAUAUUCACUUGUGAAAUAAAAGCUGAAAUUAUACAAAAUUUAGGAAAGAUUAACAGGAACAUUACCUCUAUGACAAUCUGAUAUAAUGAACA